This 474-nucleotide ribosomal RNA is filed under the name uncultured prokaryote. RNAcentral's name for it is "bacterial SSU rRNA". It matches the Rfam family "Bacterial small subunit ribosomal RNA", at positions 426 to 905 of the family's 1533-position model. The record is from RNAcentral.
UCAAGAGCAAUUGUCUAAGUCACUCUGCAGGGCUCGGACGGUCCCAAAUCAUAAAAGCCACAGUUAACUACGUGCCAGGCAGCCGCGGUAAUACGUAGGUGGCAAGCGUUAUCCGGAAUUAUUGGGCGUAAAGCGCGCGUAGGCGGUUUUUUAAGUCUGAUGUGAAAGCCCACGGCUCAACCGUGGAGGGUCAUUGGAAACUGGAAAACUUGAGUGCAGAAGAGGAAAGUGGAAUUCCAUGUGUAGCGGUGAAAUGCGCAGAGAUAUGGAGGAACACCAGUGGCGAAGGCGACUUUCUGGUCUGUAACUGACGCUGAUGUGCGAAAGCGUGGGGAUCAAACAGGAUUAGAUACCCUGGUAGUCCACGCCGUAAACGAUGAGUGCUAAGUGUUAGGGGGUUUCCGCCCCUUAGUGCUGCAGCUAACGCAUUAAGCACUCCGCCUGGGGAGUACGACCGCAAGGUUGAAACUCAAA